UGGGGAAUCUUGCGCAAUGGGCGGAAGCCUGACGCAGCAACGCCGCGUGCGGGAGGAAGGCCUUCGGGUUGUAAACCGCUUUCAGGAGGGACGAAGCCACUUGGGUUAAUAGCCCGUAGGGUGACGGUACCUCCAGAAGAAGCCCCGGCUAACUACGUGCCAGCAGCCGCGGUAAUACGUAGGGGGCAAGCGUUGUCCGGAAUCAUUGGGCGUAAAGAGCGUGUAGGCGGCUUGGUAAGUCUCGCGUGAAAUCUUGCGGCUCAACCGCAAGCUGUCGUGAGAAACUACCUGGCUAGAAUCCGGAAGAGGAGAGCGGAAUUCCUGGUGUAGCGGUGGAAUGCGCAGAUAUCAGGAAGAACACCCGUGGCGAAGGCGGCUCUCUGGGACGGUAUUGACGCUGAGACGCGAAAGCGUGGGGAGCGAACAGGAUUAGAUACCCCCGUAGUCC
This 448-nucleotide ribosomal RNA is filed under the name uncultured bacterium. RNAcentral describes it as "bacterial SSU rRNA". It matches the Rfam family "Bacterial small subunit ribosomal RNA", at positions 355 to 796 of the family's 1533-position model. The record is from RNAcentral.